RNAcentral lists this ribosomal RNA (1249 nucleotides) under human gut metagenome. Its description in RNAcentral is "bacterial SSU rRNA". It matches the Rfam family "Bacterial small subunit ribosomal RNA", at positions 223 to 1470 of the family's 1533-position model. The record is from RNAcentral.
GGAUGAGCCCGCGGCCUAUCAGCUUGUUGGUGGGGUAAUGGCCUACCAAGGCGACGACGGGUAGCCGGCCUGAGAGGGUGACCGGCCACACUGGGACUGAGAUACGGCCCAAACUCCUACGGGAGGCUGCAGUGGGGAAUAUUGCACAAUGGGGGAAACCCUGAUGCAGCGACGCCGCGUGAGUGAUGGAGGCCUUCGGGUUGUAAACCUCUUUUGUUAGGGAGCAAGCGAUAAUGACGGUACCUAAGGAGGAAGCCACGGCUAACUACGUGCCAGCAGCCGCGGUAAUACGUAGGGUGCGAGCGUUAUCCGGAAUUACUGGGCGUAAAGGGAGCGUAGGCGGUUCGUCGCGUCCGGUGUGAAAGUCCAUCGCUUAACGGUGGAUCCGCGCCGGGUACGGGCGGGCUGGAGUGCGGUAAGGGGAGACUGGAAUUCCCGGUGUAACGGUGGAAUGUGUAGAUAUCGGGAAGCACCCUAAUGGCAAAAGAAAAUCUCUGGGCCGUUACUGACGCUGAGGAGCGAAAGCGUGGGGAGCGAACAGGAUUAGAUACCCUGGUAGUCCAUGCCGUAAACGGUGGGUACUGGGUUGAGGGUCCCGUUCCACGGGUUCCGUGUCGGAGCUAACGCGUUAAGCAUCCCGCCUGGGGAGUACGGCCGCAAGGCUAAAACUCAAAGGAAUUGACGGGGGCCCGCACAAGCGGCGGAGUAUGUGGUUUAAUUCGAAGCAACGCGAAGAACCUUACCAGGUCUUGACAUUGAUGGACAGAACUAGAGAUUACGGUGUCCUUUGGGGUCGUGCACAGGUGGUGCAUGGUUGUCGUCAGCUCGUGUCGUGAGAUGUUGGGUUAAGUCCCGCAACGAGCGCAACCCUCGUCCUGUAUUGCCAGCAGCGGUCUUUGGCCGGCUGGGGACUCGCGGGAGACUGCCGGGGUCAACUCGGAGGAAGGUGGGGAUGACGUCAAAUCAUCAUGCCCCUUAUGUCCUGGGCUGCACGCAUGCUACAAUGGCCGGUACAGAGGGCUGCGAUGCCGUGAGGCGGAGCGAAUCCCGGAAAGCCGGUCUCAGUUCGGAUCGGGGUCUGCAACUCGACCCCGUGAAGUCGGAGUCGCUAGUAAUCGCAGAUCAGCAACGCUGCGGUGAAUACGUUCCCGGGCCUUGUACACACCGCCCGUCACGUCACGAAAGUCGGUAACACCCGAAGCCCGCGGCCUAACCCCGUUUGGGGAGGGAGCGGUCGAAGGUGGGGCUG